This 492-nucleotide ribosomal RNA is filed under the name uncultured bacterium. RNAcentral describes it as "partial 16S ribosomal RNA". It matches the Rfam family "Bacterial small subunit ribosomal RNA", at positions 29 to 507 of the family's 1533-position model. The record is from RNAcentral.
AGUGAACGCUGGCGGUAGGCCUAACACAUGCAAGUCGAACGGCAGCACAGUAAGAGCUUGCUCUUACGGGUGGCGAGUGGCGGACGGGUGAGGAAUACAUCGGAAUCUACUUUUUCGUGGGGGAUAACGUAGGGAAACUUACGCUAAUACCGCAUACGUCCUACGGGUGAAAGCAGGGGAUAUUCGGACCUUGCGUGAUUGAAUGAGCUGAUGUCGGAUUAGCUAGUUGGCGGGGUAAAGGCCCACCAAGGCGACGAUCCGUAGCUGGUCUGAGAGGAUGAUCAGCCACACUGGAACUGAGACACGGUCCAGACUCCUACGGGAGGCAGCAGUGGGGAAUAUUGGACAAUGGGCGAAAGCCUGAUCCAGCCAUACCGCGUGGGUGAAGAAGGCCUUCGGGUUGUAAAGCCCUUUUGUUGGGAAAGAAAAGCAGCAGGUUAAUACCCCGCUGUUCUGACGGUACCCAAAGAAUAAGCACCGGCUAACUUCGUG